GAUGAACGCUGGCGGCGUGCUUAACACAUGCAAGUCGAACGAGAGGUGAAGACGGAAACCUUCGGGCGGAAGGCUUUACUUCGAGUGGCGGACGGGUGAGUAACGCGUGGGUAACCUGCCUCAUACAGGGGGAUAACAGUUGGAAACGACUGUUAAUACCGCAUAAGACCACAGCACCGCAUGGUGCGGGGGUAAAAACUCCGGUGGUAUGAGAUGGACCCGCGUUCGAUUAGCCAGUUGGCGGGGUAACGGCCCACCAAAGCGACGAUCGAUAGCCGAUCUGAGAGGAUGACCGGCCACAUUGGGACUGAGACACGGCCCAAACUCCUACGGGAGGCAGCAGUGGGGAAUAUUGCACAAUGGGGGAAAACCCCUGAUGCAGCGACGCCCGCGUGAGUGAAAGAAAGUAAUUCGGUAAGUAAAAGCUCUAUC
This 432-nucleotide ribosomal RNA is filed under the name Lachnospiraceae bacterium oral taxon 419. RNAcentral describes it as "bacterial SSU rRNA". It matches the Rfam family "Bacterial small subunit ribosomal RNA", at positions 28 to 437 of the family's 1533-position model. Lineage: Bacteria; Bacillati; Bacillota; Clostridia; Lachnospirales; Lachnospiraceae. The record is from RNAcentral.